Molecule: ribosomal RNA, 430 nt
Filed under: uncultured archaeon
Lineage: Archaea
Description: bacterial SSU rRNA
Rfam family: Archaeal small subunit ribosomal RNA
Source: RNAcentral
UACCUGCAGCUCGAGUGGUGAUCGCUAUUAUUGGGCCUAAAACGUUCGUAGCCGGUCUAGUAAAUGCCUGGGUAAAUCGUGCCGCUUAACGGUACGAAUUCCGGGUAGACUGCUAGACUUGAGACUGGGAGAGGCUAGAUGUACUCCUGGGGUAGAGGUGAAAUUCUGUAAUCCUGGGGGGACCACCAGUGGCGAAGGCGUCUAGCUAGAACGGGUCUGACGGUGAGGAACGAAGCCCUGGGGCGCAAACCGGAUUAGAUACCCGGGUAGUCCAGGGUGUAAACGCUGCUUGCUUGAUGUUAGUUGGGCUCCGAGCCCAAUUAGUGUCGGAGAGAAGUUGUUAAGCAAGCUGCCUGGGAAGUACGAUCGCAAGAUUGAAACUUAAAGGAAUUGGGCGGGGGAGCACAGCAACGGGUGGAGCGUGCGGUUU